Molecule: long non-coding RNA, 797 nt
Filed under: Olea europaea (common olive)
Lineage: Eukaryota; Viridiplantae; Streptophyta; Magnoliopsida; Lamiales; Oleaceae
Description: long non-coding RNA (OEUR_LNC011466)
Source: RNAcentral
AGAAGAAGCAAGAAUUAAAACAAUUAAUCAGAUCCCAGAAACCAAAUAUCAAAUUUCAAACAGUCUACAAAUUCCGACAGUGAGUCGAACUAUGAGAACAAAACAAUCUAGUAGAAGCUCAAAUUUCACACAAUUUACAAAAAUCCUAUUCCUUAACACAAAGCAUGGUGCGAGGCACCACACAAACUUUCGCCGAGUACACAGUUAACAGUGUAACAAACCGAGCUAGUUGGAAGAGAGACAGAAAUUUUCCCGGAGUGAAAUAGAAAAACUGUAAGAACGCGUGCGUUUCUUAGUGUUUUCGUGUGUAAGAGAUAUGGAUGGACGGAUGGAUACCGGUGCUGGGAUCGAGGAUGUGCAGAGCAAUGACACGAUCCCCAGACUGUGCCACUUUCACCAGCGCCCACGUCAGCAACUCCCUGCUUCGCGCAUCCAACUUCACCCCGACAACCACUACCGCACCACCACCUGUCCCGUCGUCACCGUUUUUUAUGGUGGUGGCGGCGGUCGCGGUGGCGCUACAUUCCUCGACUCCAGUACGUUCAACCAAUCUCAUUUCCGUACAAACGGAUCAAGGAAACGUCACAAUUUGGUGUGAAUUUCCCACUCCUCUGUUCUUUCUUGGUGUAUCCGUAUAUUGAUGGGGUGGUUUUACUCCUUUUCUCUCUCUAUAAUUGAGUUUAUUCUACGUUGUGUCGCUCUUUGCAUUGAAGUUCGGAAUUGGGGAAUCUUUAAUAAGCGGAUAAUUAUUAGGUGUUUAUCCGGACUGCGGUGCUCCCAUGAACGGCAAAUCCUAG